Molecule: ribosomal RNA, 157 nt
Filed under: Eurotiales sp.
Lineage: Eukaryota; Fungi; Ascomycota; Eurotiomycetes; Eurotiales
Description: partial large subunit ribosomal RNA
Source: RNAcentral
UACUCCUCUCCGGGCGGGCCAGCAUCGGUUUGGGCGGCUGGUGAAAGGCCCCGGGAAUGUACCACCCUCCGGGGUGCCUUAUAGCCCGGGGUGCCAUGCAGCCAGCCUGGACCGAGGCCCGCGCUUCGGCGAGGAUGCUGGCGUAAUGGUGGUCAAC